UCCUGCAUUUCCUGUGUUACGGGGGGGGAAAAGGUGUUUAUGUACAGCAAGAACUGAUGAACUCAGGGCUGAAGAGCAUUUUGUUCUCUGUGGCAGCUCUAUCCCUUUCCUUAGGGGAGAUCUAUGUUAGAAACAAAAAUGUCAUAGGGGAAGGUUGUGAAUUCUAAAUGAACCGUGGGGACCUCACGAACCUCUUCAGCUUAGUGGUUUCCAGGAAGCCCCAGGCUGAGCCAAACUUUGUGACUUAGCUGGUGUGAGUCUUUGGCUGUCAUCUUGACCACAAACUUCAAGAUAUGCAGGCAUGGGAGGCUGGGGGCCUUUUUUAUUUUUCUCUACCUCACUUUGCCAGGUUCAAGGCAAAGACAGAAUCCAGUCCUCUGAUCUGUGAACUUCUGACGAUUCCCCGCCCUCAAUGUGCUGGUGGCUGGAGUGCAGUGGCACAAUCUCAGCUCACUGCAACCUCCACCUCCCAGGUUCAAGCCAUUCUCCUGCCUCAGUCUUCCAAGUAGCUGGAAUUACAAGUACCCACCAUCAUGCCUGGCUAAUUUUUGUAUUUUUAGCAGAGAUGGGAUUUCACUAUGUUGGUCAGGCUGGUCUCAAACUCCUGACCUUAGGUGAUCCACCCACCUCAGCCUCCCAAAGUGCUGGGAUUACAAGUGUGAGCCGCCGCACCCUACCUAGAGAGAGAUAGAUUUCUUACAAUGUUAUUUGAGCACCUGGAUCCAGCUGGACCUGAAACCACAACUCCUGCACAUUUUUGUUAAUGGCACCAAUACAGUUACAUUUUGAUGUAAGUUGGAUUGAGCUGAAUUUCUGUAAAGUCAGUAAAGGAGUUCUCACUGGUACCUCCAGCUUCCCCUGG
This is a long non-coding RNA of Gorilla gorilla gorilla (western lowland gorilla), 862 nucleotides long. RefSeq lists it as uncharacterized. The record is from RefSeq and is a predicted model, not a curated record. The transcript is spliced from 2 exons. NCBI's taxonomy places the organism in Eukaryota, Metazoa, Chordata, Mammalia, Primates, Hominidae.